UGAAUUCUUGAGAAAAGCAACCUAUUUUUACUUAUUUUCUUACUCUAUAACAUACUUUUUUUAAAAAAUAAUUUUGGAAAGACUUUAUAUUUCAUUAUAACUGUUGAAAACAUUUUAAAGGAACUUUUAAAUGACCUUGGCCUAAGUGGUUUGGUCUCAGAGAAAGUGGGAGGAGAGGCUGUCUACCAGUUCAUAAGUGGCAUAAAUGCUUUGGAAGGGUUGGGGCGGAGAGCGCAAGGAUGCAUGUUGCCGUAAUGCAGAGGAAACAGCAAGUAUUAAGCAAAAUUGCCUUUUUAAACAAUAGAAUUUGAUUAGGGAAGUGCAAAUUGAUGAAGAUUCCCUUAGAAAUAUAAUAAAUUCGAUUAUAAAGCUAGAAGUAGAGAUUGCCUGUGCUCCAUGUGCUUUGCUUACUAAUAAUGCUGCUUUAGAUAAGAAUUAUGAAAUGGAUUCUUUGAUAUUUUAUAUUACAAAAAAAAAAUUAAGGAUUUUUCUGGCUGAGGGGAACACGAUCCGGAACAAAUCAAAAGAAGAAUGGGUUUGAUUUGUUAUUUUGAGUUUGCUGAGCCCCUAGGACAUAUCUGGGCUCCUGUUGGGGGUGAUUGUUAAGUUUGUAUUCUCACCAUUGUGAAGCAACUUUGUGCAAGGUUUCAUCAGAUGAUUUCAGAGGAGAAGCUGGAAACCAAAUCUCCUGAUGCUGUACCCCUGAUCUCAGGGUAGUCUUUGAUGUCCAGAUUUAUGGGAGAGCACCGGAUGAGGAAAGAGCUCUUUAAACAGAAGAAUGCAGCAUCUCCUAGAAUGAAAGCGAGUGGCUGCACUGUCCGUGGGAUCCUUAAGUGAUCCCGGCUGGUGUCGCUUCUGGAAUGAAGAGCUUUGAUGCUUUUGCUUUUGUGGAAAAGCUAGCGGCAAGAGGAGGGAACGCUGGGUCCAUCGCAUUGACCUUCAAGUCUGAUUCUUCACCAAAACUUUUUUAUAUAAAAGGAUGCAUAGAAAUAGAUAUCUGGAAGACUUUGAAUCCUCUCCGUCCGUGGCUUAACACUUCGGUUAGGAAAGGAACCGAGGCAGGAAGCAGUUUCUGAAAGUCCUGAAAUGGAGAUUUUGGCUCUGUGAUUGGGGCUGGGAUGGCCAGUACUGAGCCCACACAGCGCAUGCUCCUCCCCUGCACCCGCGGUCUCUGUCCCGAAUCCCUCAGAGGUCCAGGCGUGGUCUCCUUAUCUUUCUUAACCGAGCACUAUAGGCAGCUGCUACUGAAUUGAUCAGAAUUCGGUAGGAGGUAAAACCUGUUUGUUUACCACAUCCCCAUACCCACUACAGUAGAUUCUAAUGGGAACUGAAAAAACGGUCUGGAUUUUUUGAGUAGGCGGCUGUUCUUGAACCGCCCAUUGGUCCUGUCUCCUAACCAGAGACCGCAGGAGAACCGCCCAUCCCCAUUACCAUCACCCUUAGGGCUUCUCCUGAGCACAUGCUGGCACUCUGCUUUCACCUCCAAGGACUUGACUCUUAUUGGGAGAGGAGAAGGGGAAGGCAGCCUGAGAUGCAUGCCAAGUGCAGUGUGUUGAAUAAAUAGCGAUUUAAGGAAGAGGAGCUGCAAUCCUAUGGGACUGAGAUCUGGGAAUGAACUAUCUUGUUCAGUAGCAGGGCCAACUUAUUUUGAAUAUGUUCAUCUCGUUGCUGAUGUGUUUAGAAGGUUAAAAAAAAAAAAAGCCUUCAUAGGGAAGUCUGGGGAAGGCAAAAGCUUAAAAUAAUUGAAUCUAAGAAGUAUCAUGGCAUGGCAAUAAUGUUCGCUGGUUAUCUACAGCCUUCUCCUCGGUUACCGACCUGUGUUCUAGAAGAGAAGCAUUAAGGUAGAUGGUCGUUCACUGAAAUAUUGGAAUUGGGCUCAGGGCAAGUGAGAGCUAUGAGGGAAUAAGUAAAUGGAUGUUUUAGUGAUCUCUUUGCCCUUGUCCUGCUCUUCCUGCUGGGGUGGGGUGGGCUGAGGAUGAUAGAAGGUUUUCUCUAAUGAUUUAGGGUCAGGGAUAUAUUGAAAAGUGUGAAUUCUUGACAUAAUUUGCGUGAGAAAUUGAACUAUAGGGGAAGUGUUUUGUGCAAGGAGAUUCCUCAUAUGGAUUAUCUUUUAAAACAGCUAACUAGAAUCCUGCAUUAUGUGGUAGAUUUCUGUAUUAUACUUUCCAAUAUUUAUAAAGUGUGGGUUUUGUUACUCUCAAUGUUUCACAUACAGUUUUGGUGUCAUGCUCCUAUAAUAAAUUACUAAAGUUAAAAAGA
Mustela erminea (ermine) is the source of this 2259-nucleotide long non-coding RNA. RefSeq lists it as uncharacterized. NCBI's taxonomy places the organism in Eukaryota, Metazoa, Chordata, Mammalia, Carnivora, Mustelidae. The record is from RefSeq and is a predicted model, not a curated record. The transcript is spliced from 2 exons.